GUGCUUGCUUUGGCAGCACAUAUAUUAAAACUGAAACGAUACAGAGAUGAUUAGCAUGGCUCCUGCGCAAGGAUGACAUGCACAUUCAUGAAGUGUUCAAUAUUUAA
This is a small nuclear RNA of Ochotona curzoniae (black-lipped pika), 107 nucleotides long. The record is from RefSeq and is a predicted model, not a curated record. NCBI's taxonomy places the organism in Eukaryota, Metazoa, Chordata, Mammalia, Lagomorpha, Ochotonidae.